CCUUAUCAAGAGUGGUGGAGGGGCACGGCCCGAUGAAACCCGGCAACCUGUUUUUACAAGGUGCUAAAUCCGUCGGUUUAUCCGAAAGAUGAGG
RNAcentral lists this non-coding RNA (94 nucleotides) under pig gut metagenome. RNAcentral's name for it is "SAM riboswitch (S box leader)". It matches the Rfam family "SAM riboswitch aptamer (S box leader)". From Rfam's summary of the family: The SAM riboswitch is found upstream of a number of genes which code for proteins involved in methionine or cysteine biosynthesis in Gram-positive bacteria. The SAM riboswitch acts at the level of transcription termination control. The record is from RNAcentral.